Molecule: ribosomal RNA, 427 nt
Filed under: uncultured bacterium
Lineage: Bacteria
Description: partial 16S ribosomal RNA
Rfam family: Bacterial small subunit ribosomal RNA
Source: RNAcentral
UGGGGAAUAUUGCACAACGGGCGCAAGCCUGAUGCAGCCAUGCCGCGUGUAUGAAGAAGGCCUUCGGGUUGUAAAGUACUUUCAGCGGGGAGGAAGGUGUUGAGGCUAAUAACCUCAGCAAUUGACGUUACCCGCAGAAGAAGCACCGGCUAACUCCGUGCCAGCAGCCGCGGUAAUACGGAGGGUGCAAGCGUUAAUCGGAAUUACUGGGCGUAAAGCGCACGCAGGCGGUCUGUCAAGUCGGAUGUGAAAUCCCCGGGCUCAACCUGGGAACUGCAUUCGAAACUGGCAGGCUAGAGUCUUGUAGAGGGGGGUAGAAUUCCAGGUGUAGCGGUGAAAUGCGUAGAGAUCUGGAGGAAUACCGGUGGCGAAGGCGGCCCCCUGGACAAAGACUGACGCUCAGGUGCGAAAGCGUGGGGAGCAAACA